RNAcentral lists this ribosomal RNA (575 nucleotides) under Klebsiella pneumoniae. RNAcentral's name for it is "partial 23S ribosomal RNA". It matches the Rfam family "Bacterial large subunit ribosomal RNA", at positions 2227 to 2801 of the family's 2925-position model. The record is from RNAcentral. Lineage: Bacteria; Pseudomonadati; Pseudomonadota; Gammaproteobacteria; Enterobacterales; Enterobacteriaceae.
GUUGGCCCCUGACCGGGGUUGCGGACAGUGUCUGGUGGGUAGUUUGACUGGGGCGGUCUCCUCCCAAAGCGUAACGGAGGAGCACGAAGGUUAGCUAAUCCUGGUCGGACAUCAGGAGGUUAGUGCAAUGGCAUAAGCUAGCUUGACUGCGAGCGUGACGGCGCGAGCAGGUGCGAAAGCAGGUCAUAGUGAUCCGGUGGUUCUGAAUGGAAGGGCCAUCGCUCAACGGAUAAAAGGUACUCCGGGGAUAACAGGCUGAUACCGCCCAAGAGUUCAUAUCGACGGCGGUGUUUGGCACCUCGAUGUCGGCUCAUCACAUCCUGGGGCUGAAGUAGGUCCCAAGGGUAUGGCUGUUCGCCAUUUAAAGUGGUACGCGAGCUGGGUUUAGAACGUCGUGAGACAGUUCGGUCCCUAUCUGCCGUGGGCGCUGGAGAAUUGAGGGGGGCUGCUCCUAGUACGAGAGGACCGGAGUGGACGCAUCACUGGUGUUCGGGUUGUCAUGCCAAUGGCACUGCCCGGUAGCUAAAUGCGGAAGAGAUAAGUGCUGAAAGCAUCUAAGCACGAAACUUGCCCCG